CACUAUCGUUAACUGAAUACAUAGGUUAACGAGGCGAACCGGGGGAACUGAAACAUCUAAGUACCCCGAGGAAAAGAAAUCAACCGAGAUUCCCCCAGUAGCGGCGAGCGAACGGGGAGCAGCCCAGAGUCUGAAUCAGCUUGUGUGUUAGUGGAACGGUCUGGAAAGUCCGACGGUACAGGGUGAUAGUCCCGUACACCAAAAUGCACAGGCUGUGAACUCGAAGAGUAGGGCGGGACACGUGGUAUCCUGUCUGAAUAUGGGGGGACCAUCCUCCAAGGCUAAAUACUCCUGACUGACCGAUAGUGAACCAGUACCGUGAGGGAAAGGCGAAAAGAACCCCGGCGAGGGGAGUGAAAAAGAACCUGAAACCGUGUACGUACAAGCAGUGGGAGCACCUUCGGGUGUGACUGCGUACCUUUUGUAUAAUGGGUCAGCGACUUAUAUUCUGUAGCAAGGUUAACCGUAUAGGGGAGCCGCAGGGAAACCGAGUCUUAACUGGGCGUUAAGUUGCAGGGUAUAGACCCGAAACCCGGUGAUCUAGCCAUGGGCAGGUUGAAGGUUGGGUAACACUAACUGGAGGACCGAACCGACUAAUGUUGAAAAAUUAGCGGAUGACUUGUGGCUGGGGGUGAAAGGCCAAUCAAACCGGGAGAUAGCUGGUUCUCCCCGAAAGCUAUUUAGGUAGCGCCUCGUGAAUUCAUCUUCGGGGGUAGAGCACUGUUUCGGCUAGGGGGUCAUCCCGACUUACCAACCCGAUGCAAACUACGAAUACCGAAGAAUGUUAUCACGGGAGACACACGGCGGGUGCUAACGUCCGUCGUGAAGAGGGAAACAACCCAGACCGCCAGCUAAGGUCCCAAAGUCAUGGUUAAGUGGGAAACGAUGUGGGAAGGCACAGACAGCCAGGAUGUUGGCUUAGAAGCAGCCAUCAUUUAAAGAAAGCGUAAUAGCUCACUGGUCGAGUCGGCCUGCGCGGAAGAUGUAACGGGGCUAAACCAUGCACCGAAGCUGCGGCAGCGACACUAUGUGUUGUUGGGUAGGGGAGCGUUCUGUAAGCCUGCGAAGGUGACCUGUGAGGGUUGCUGGAGGUAUCAGAAGUGCGAAUGCUGACAUAAGUAACGAUAAAGCGGGUGAAAAGCCCGCUCGCCGGAAGACCAAGGGUUCCUGUCCAACGUUAAUCGGGGCAGGGUGAGUCGACCCCUAAGGCGAGGCCGAAAGGCGUAGUCGAUGGGAAACAGGUUAAUAUUCCUGUACUUGGUGUUACUGCGAAGGGGGGACGGAGAAGGCUAUGUUAGCCGGGCGACGGUUGUCCCGGUUUAAGCAUGUAGGCUGGUUGUCCAGGCAAAUCCGGAUAAUCAAGGCUGAGGUGUGAUGACGAGGCACUACGGUGCUGAAGUAACAAAUGCCCUGCUUCCAGGAAAAGCCUCUAAGCAUCAGGUAACAUUAAAUCGUACCCCAAACCGACACAGGUGGUCAGGUAGAGAAUACCAAGGCGCUUGAGAGAACUCGGGUGAAGGAACUAGGCAAAAUGGUGCCGUAACUUCGGGAGAAGGCACGCUGGUGUGUAGGUGAAGUCCCUGCGGAUGGAGCUGAGACCAGUCGAAGAUACCAGCUGGCUGCAACUGUUUAUUAAAAACACAGCACUGUGCAAACACGAAAGUGGACGUAUACGGUGUGACGCCUGCCCGGUGCCGGAAGGUUAAUUGAUGGGGUUAUCCGUAAGGAGAAGCUCUUGAUCGAAGCCCCGGUAAACGGCGGCCGUAACUAUAACGGUCCUAAGGUAGCGAAAUUCCUUGUCGGGUAAGUUCCGACCUGCACGAAUGGCGUAAUGAUGGCCAGGCUGUCUCCACCCGAGACUCAGUGAAAUUGAACUCGCUGUGAAGAUGCAGUGUACCCGCGGCAAGACGGAAAGACCCCGUGAACCUUUACUAUAGCUUGACACUGAACAUUGAGCCUUGAUGUGUAGGAUAGGUGGGAGGCUUUGAAGCGUGGACGCCAGUCUGCGUGGAGCCAACCUUGAAAUACCACCCUUUAAUGUUUGAUGUUCUAACGUUGGCCCCUUACCGGGGUUGCGGACAGUGUCUGGUGGGUAGUUUGACUGGGGCGGUCUCCUCCCAAAGCGUAACGGAGGAGCACGAAGGUUAGCUAAUCCUGGUCGGACAUCAGGAGGUUAGUGCAAUGGCAUAAGCUAGCUUGACUGCGAGCGUGACGGCGCGAGCAGGUGCGAAAGCAGGUCAUAGUGAUCCGGUGGUUCUGAAUGGAAGGGCCAUCGCUCAACGGAUAAAAGGUACUCCGGGGAUAACAGGCUGAUACCGCCCAAGAGUUCAUAUCGACGGCGGUGUUUGGCACCUCGAUGUCGGCUCAUCACAUCCUGGGGCUGAAGUAGGUCCCAAGGGUAUGGCUGUUCGCCAUUUAAAGUGGUACGCGAGCUGGGUUUAGAACGUCGUGAGACAGUUCGGUCCCUAUCUGCCGUGGGCGCUGGAGAAUUGAGGGGGGCUGCUCCUAGUACGAGAGGACCGGAGUGGACGCAUCACUGGUGUUCGGGUUGUCAUGCCAAUGGCACUGCCCGGUAGCUAAAUGCGGAAGAGAUAAGUGCUGAAAGCAUCUAAGCACGAAACUUGCCCCGAGAUGAGUUCUCCCUGAGACUUUAAGUCUCCUGAAGGAACGUUAAAGACGAUGACGUUGAUAGGCCGGGUGUGUAAGCGCAGCGAUGCGUUGAGCUAACCGGUACUAAUGAACCGUGAGGCUUAACCUU
This 2758-nucleotide ribosomal RNA is filed under the name Klebsiella pneumoniae. RNAcentral describes it as "bacterial LSU rRNA". It matches the Rfam family "Bacterial large subunit ribosomal RNA". The record is from RNAcentral. Lineage: Bacteria; Pseudomonadati; Pseudomonadota; Gammaproteobacteria; Enterobacterales; Enterobacteriaceae.